CCUACGGGUGGCAGCAGUGAGGAAUAUUGGUCAAUGGGCGUAAGCCUGAACCAGCCAAGCCGCGUGAGGGAUGAAGGUUCUAUGGAUCGUAAACCUCUUUUAUAAGGGAAUAAAGUGUGGGACGUGUCCUAUUUUGUAUGUAUCUUAUGAAUAAGGAUCGGCUAACUCCGUGCCAGCAGCCGCGGUAAUACGGAGGAUUCGAGCGUUAUCCGGAUUUAUUGGGUUUAAAGGGUGCGUAGGCGGCCUUUUAAGUCAGCGGUGAAAGCCUGGGGCUCAACCAUGGAAUUGCCGUUGAUACUGGGGGGCUGGAGAGUGUUUGAGGCAGGCGGAAUGCGUGGUGUAGCGGUGAAAUGCUUAGAGAUCACGCAGAACCCCGAUUGCGAAGGCAGCCUGCCAAGCCAUGACUGACGCUGAGGCACGAAAGCGUGGGGAGCAAACAGGAUUAGAUACCCCUGUAGUC
This 460-nucleotide ribosomal RNA is filed under the name uncultured bacterium. Its description in RNAcentral is "partial 16S ribosomal RNA". It matches the Rfam family "Bacterial small subunit ribosomal RNA", at positions 338 to 795 of the family's 1533-position model. The record is from RNAcentral.